UAGUUAAGUUGGCUUCUCCUCCUACAACUUAAAAGUUGGUGUUCAAACAUUUCGUCCCAGGUCUUAUGUUCUUAAGGAUGCUCAAAUCAACUCAGUUUAAUUUGAUCAUUGAGCUAUCUGGAUUUAGGUGCAUUUCAUCAGAAAUGACAACACCAAGAAUUUAAGAUGGCAAUGGGAAUCAGUUUUUUGGCACAUGAAGAGGAAGUGAACACUAGAAUGUCCAGACCACUCUAUGAGAUUCUGAUUGUAUGGAAAAAAUAUGCCCAAAUAGAUGAAGGGAAGCUUCUACUGGUUGUUUCUUUAAUUCAGAGAUGGGGCACAAAAGUAACACUGCAUGUCUUACGACUAAAUGGUAUGUAUCUAGGAUUCCGUCGCCGGAAAGCUGAGGUGAGGUCUAACUAUUCUUUAACUUCUGUUUUCCUAGCUAUUGGUGCAUAUAUCAUGAUUAUUGAAUUAAAUAGCACGCCUGUUUAACUAAAUAUUAACAAUGGCAGAGAACCACAAUGUAAUUAAGUAGGGAAGAAACUAGAAUCUGCUAUCCAAUGUUCCACUUGAUGUCCGAUUCAGUUUGCAUUUUUGGAAGUCCUCCCAAUUCAUUCUUUUGAGUUAUGGCCAACAUAUUUUACAUAUUUUGCAGUAUCGAAAAUGUACUUAGCUCCUCUUCCUUUUAAUUGAUUUCACUGACCUUUCACAUUAGCAUCUGCCUGAUGACCGAUUGUUCUUUGUUCUCAUUCUUACCUGAUAAGUUGGCUAUAGCUGCAAACAAACUGUAAAUGCACCAGUAUGUGCUAUCUAAAUUCUGUGUCAGUCAUUCAUAUAAACCGACUCAUGUUACUUUGCUAAGGACACCCACUGCUUGAAGUUUCCAUACUACCACAUGCGCUCUCUAAUGCAAAUUAAGUCUUAGUACAAC
Lolium rigidum is the source of this 913-nucleotide long non-coding RNA. RefSeq lists it as uncharacterized. The record is from RefSeq and is a predicted model, not a curated record. The transcript is spliced from 3 exons. Lineage: Eukaryota; Viridiplantae; Streptophyta; Magnoliopsida; Poales; Poaceae.